RNAcentral lists this ribosomal RNA (493 nucleotides) under uncultured bacterium. RNAcentral describes it as "partial 16S ribosomal RNA". It matches the Rfam family "Bacterial small subunit ribosomal RNA", at positions 28 to 507 of the family's 1533-position model. The record is from RNAcentral.
GACGAACGCUGGCGGCGUGCUUAACACAUGCAAGUCGAACGGUGAAGCGCCUUCCUUUUUGGUGGGUGUGGAUGAGUGGCGAACGGGUGAGUAACACGUGAGUAACCUGCCCCCUUCUUCUGGAUAACCGCAUGAAAGUGUGGCUAAUACGGGAUAUUCUGGGUCUGUCGCAUGAUGGGUCUGGGAAAGAUAUUGUUUCGGUGGGGGAUGGGCUCGCGGCCUAUCAGCUUGUGGGUGGGGUGAUGGCCUACCAAGGCGUGGCCGGGUGGCGGGCCGGGGGGGUGGGCGGUCCCACGAGGGCGGCGGCGCGGCCCCGACUCCUACGGGAGGCAGCGGGGGGGAAUAGUGCACGGUGGGCGCCAGCCUGAUGCAGCGACGCCGCGGGAGGGAUGGAGGCCUUCGGGUUGUGAACCUCUUUCGGCAGUGAAGCAGGCCUGCCUCGUGUGUGGGUGGGUUGACGGUAGCUGGAGAAGAAGCGCCGGCUAACUACGUG